Molecule: ribosomal RNA, 379 nt
Filed under: uncultured bacterium
Lineage: Bacteria
Description: bacterial SSU rRNA
Rfam family: Bacterial small subunit ribosomal RNA
Source: RNAcentral
AUUGAACGCUGGCGGCAUGCCUUACACAUGCAAGUCGAACGGCAGCACGGGAGCAAUCCUGGUGGCGAGUGGCGAACGGGUGAGUAAUAUAUCGGAACGUGCCCGGUCGUGGGGAUAACGUAGCGAAAGCUACGCUAAUACCGCAUACGAUCUACGGAUGAAAGCGGGGGAUCGCAAGACCUCGCGCGAUUGGAGCGGCCGAUAUCAGAUUAGGUAGUUGGUGAGGUAAAGGCUCACCAAGCCGACGAUCUGUAGCUGGUCUGAGAGGACGACCAGCCACACUGGGACUGAGACACGGCCCAGACUCCUACGGGAGGCGAGCAGUGGGGAAUUUUGGACAAUGGGCGCAAGCCUGAUCCAGCGAAUGCCGCGUGCAGGA